Molecule: ribosomal RNA, 700 nt
Filed under: uncultured bacterium
Lineage: Bacteria
Description: bacterial SSU rRNA
Rfam family: Bacterial small subunit ribosomal RNA
Source: RNAcentral
AGUGGCGGACGGGUGAGUAACGCGUAAGAAUCUAACUUCAGGACGGGGACAACAGUGGGAAACGACUGCUAAUACCCGAUGUGCCGCGAGGUGAAACCUAAUUGGCCUGAAGAAGAGCUUGCGUCUGAUUAGCUAGUUGGUGGGGUAAGAGCCUACCAAGGCGACGAUCAGUAGCUGGUCUGAGAGGAUGAGCAGCCACACUGGGACUGAGACACGGCCCAGACUCCUACGGGAGGCAGCAGUGGGGAAUUUUCCGCAAUGGGCGAAAGCCUGACGGAGCAACGCCGCGUGAGGGAGGAAGGUCUUUGGAUUGUAAACCUCUUUUCUCAAGGAAGAAGUUCUGACGGUACUUGAGGAAUCAGCCUCGGCUAACUCCGUGCCAGCAGCCGCGGUAAUACGGGGGAGGCAAGCGUUAUCCGGAAUUAUUGGGCGUAAAGCGUCCGCAGGUGGUCAGCCAAGUCUGCCGUCAAAUCAGGUUGCUUAACGACCUAAAGGCGGUGGAAACUGGCAGUCUAGAGAGCAGUAGGGGUAGCAGGAAUUCCCAGUGUAGCGGUGAAAUGCGUAGGGAUUGGGAAGAACAUCGGUGGCGAAAGCGUGCUACUGGGCUGUAUCUGACACUCAGGGACGAAAGCUAGGGGAGCGAAAGGGAUUAGAUACCCCUGUAGUCCUAGCCGUAAACGAUGGAUAUUAGGCGUGGCUU